AACGCGCAACAAACGUUUCUUUAAAAAAGUAUCUCGAAGCAUGCAGGCAAACAAAUAUGUUUAAAACGAAACCUGACUAUCUUUUUUUACAGAUCUAGUAAAGCAUGCCUAUCAAAAACUCCAAUAAAGUGAAUAUUAUCAUGAAAGACUGAACGGUUUGUGGUGACUAUUCCUCUUUCUCGCAGAUUUGCAGAUAAUUGGAAGCUCGAAGCGGCGGAUCGAUGCGACUGGAGAGACAAGUCACGUAACGGUCUCAACAAGAUGGAUGAUUUGAGGCGGCGGAGCAACGCUGUUAAACGAUCAAGACAUCACGCUACCAGGAACGCCUCCACUGUCGCAGACUCGGGAGAAUUUCGUUGCCAACACUGCAACAGGACCUGCGCAAGUCGCAUUGGCAUGUUAAGUCACGAGCGCGCUUGUGGAAGUCAGUGAACUAGAUGGACAUUUGCAGACAGCCUUCGUUGAUUCGACAGGCAGCAUCAUCGUUGCAGUCCACGCUGUAUUAUGAUUUAUGAGUAAAUUGUACGAGAACUCUUCUCCCAUGAACCAGUUAACUCAACAAAUCUUUAAACUAAGAACCUCUUGCCUGUUUUUGAGUUAAACACUACACCUAGUGAAUAAACUGUCGUGAAUGACGAUCAUGUUCAAAGCAGUAUAUAAACUUGGUUUUUGAUUUCCGUAUAUAAUUAUAAAAAUAGAAGAGUGUUAACUUUAUUCGAGUUUGAACGAAUUUUUUUAUAUAAUAUUCGUGAUACAUCGUACAUUUUGUGAUAGUACAUUUUUAUUUGUGAAGACAGCCUUAUUAUAGCAAACUAAGACAUCCUGUGAACGGUUUUACCAGAAUUGAAUUGCUCCUCAUUUAAUGGAGUCACGCAGACUUUUAUAUAUACUUUAUGAAUCAAAUUUAGGCUUAAUUAAAUCAUUUAUGCAUUGCAAA
Xenia sp. Carnegie-2017 is the source of this 937-nucleotide long non-coding RNA. RefSeq lists it as uncharacterized. The record is from RefSeq and is a predicted model, not a curated record. Lineage: Eukaryota; Metazoa; Cnidaria; Anthozoa; Malacalcyonacea; Xeniidae. The transcript is spliced from 2 exons.